GGAGGAAAAGAAACUAACAAGGAUUCCCCUAGUAGCGGCGAGCGAAGCGGGAAGAGCUCAAAUUUAUAAUCUGGCACCUUCGGUGUCCGAGUUGUAAUCUCUAGAAGUGUUUUCCGCGUUGGACCGCACACAAGUCUGUUGGAAUACAGCGGCAUAGUGGUGAAACCCCCGUAUAUGGUGCGGACGCCCAGCGCUUUGUGAUACACUUUCAAUGAGUCGAGUUGUUUGGGAAUGCAGCUCAAAUUGGGUGGUAAAUUCCAUCUAAAGCUAAAUAUUGGCGAGAGACCGAUAGCGAACAAGUACCGUGAGGGAAAGAUGAAAAGCACUUUGGAAAGAGAGUUAACAGUACGUGAAAUUGUUGGAAGGGAAACGCUUGAAGUCAGACUUGCUUGCCGGAGCUUGCUUCGGUUUGCAGGCCAGCAUCAGUUUUCCGGGGUGGAUAAUGACGGUUUGAAGGUAGCAGUCUCGGCUGUGUUAUAGCUUUCCGUUGGAUACAUCCUGGGGGACUGAGGAACGCAGCGUGCUUUUUGCGAAAGACUCGUCUUUUUCACGCUUAGGAUGCUGGUGGAAUGGCUUUAAACGACCCGUCUUG
RNAcentral lists this ribosomal RNA (592 nucleotides) under Rhodotorula graminis. RNAcentral's name for it is "partial large subunit ribosomal RNA". It matches the Rfam family "Eukaryotic large subunit ribosomal RNA", at positions 52 to 656 of the family's 3401-position model. Lineage: Eukaryota; Fungi; Basidiomycota; Microbotryomycetes; Sporidiobolales; Sporidiobolaceae. The record is from RNAcentral.